Molecule: ribosomal RNA, 589 nt
Filed under: Leucosporidium muscorum
Lineage: Eukaryota; Fungi; Basidiomycota; Microbotryomycetes; Leucosporidiales; Leucosporidiaceae
Description: LSU rRNA
Rfam family: Eukaryotic large subunit ribosomal RNA
Source: RNAcentral
AAACUAACAAGGAUUCCCCUAGUAACGGCGAGUGAAGCGGGAAGAGCUCAAAUUUGUAAUCUGGCACUUUCAGUGUCCGAGUUGUAAUCUCGAGAAGUAUUUUCCGCGCCGGACUGCAUACAAGUCUGUUGGAAUACAGCGUCAUAGUGGUGAGAACCCCGUAACUGAUGCAGAUGCCCGGUGCUUUGUGAUAUACUUUCGAAGAGUCGAGUUGUUUGGGAAUGCAGCUCAAAUUGGGUGGUAAAUUCCAUCUAAAGCUAAAUAUUGGAGCAAGACCGAUAGCGAACAAGUACCGUGAGGGAAAGAUGAAAAGCACUUUGGAAAGAGAGUUAACAGUACGUGAAAUUGUUGGAAGGGAAACGCUUGAAGUCAGACUUGCUAUUCGGAGUUCAGCCGCAAGGUGUAUUCUUCGAUUUGCAGGCCAGCAUCAGUUUUCGGGGGUGGAAAAUCGUGGUUUGAAGGUAGCAACUUCGGUUGUGUUAUAGCUUUCCACUGGAUUCAUCUUUGGGGACUGAGGAACGCAGUACGCUUUUUGCAAGGCCCUCGGGCUUUUCGUACUUAGGAUGGUGGCGGAAUGGCUUUAAACGAC